RNAcentral lists this ribosomal RNA (254 nucleotides) under uncultured bacterium. RNAcentral's name for it is "partial 16S ribosomal RNA". It matches the Rfam family "Bacterial small subunit ribosomal RNA", at positions 524 to 776 of the family's 1533-position model. The record is from RNAcentral.
UACGUAGGGUGCGAGCGUUGUCCGGAAUUAUUGGGCGUAAAGAGCUUGUAGGCGGUUUGUCGCGUCUGCUGUGAAAAUCCGGGGCUCAACCCCGAACUUGCAGUGGGUACGGGCAGACUAGAGUGUGGUAGGGGGAGACUGGAAUUCCUGGUGUAGCGGUGAAAUGCGCAGAUAUCAGGAGGAACACCGAUGGCGAAGGCAGUUCUCUGGGCCGUAACUGACGCUGAGGAGCGAAAGUGUGGGGAGCGAACAGG